UCAAUUUUCUGCCACCGAAUACAUUAGCAUGGGAUAAUGGAAUAGGACCCUGUCCUCUUAUUWWMAGUUGGUUUUGGCAGCGCGAGGACUAGGGUAAYYYAUUAAUAGGGAUAGUUGGGGGCAUUAAUAUUUAAUUGUCAGAGGUGAAAUUCUUGGAUUUAUGAAAGAUUAACUUCUGCGAAAGCAUCUGCCAAGGAUGUUUUCAUUAAUCAAGAACGAAAGUUAGGGGAUCGAAGACGAUCAGAUACCGUCGUAGUCUUAACCAUAAACGAUGCCGACCAGCGAUUAGGAGACGUUGAAUACAAAACACCACCAUCGGCGCGGUCGUCCUUGGCGUUCGUGUUCACGCACGGGCGCGAGGGCGGCUUAGCCCGGUGGCACCGGUGAAUGACUCCCCUAGCAGCUUGUGAGAA
This 413-nucleotide ribosomal RNA is filed under the name Acanthamoeba sp. SGC-14. RNAcentral describes it as "SSU rRNA". It matches the Rfam family "Eukaryotic small subunit ribosomal RNA", at positions 791 to 1107 of the family's 1831-position model. The record is from RNAcentral. Lineage: Eukaryota; Discosea; Longamoebia; Acanthamoebidae.